UCAGCAGCCAUUGUUCAGUUCCGUACCGAUGACACAUUUAUUUCUGACCUUUUGGAUUCCUCUUCGGUUGCUUUCAGAGAUAGAUCCUCACUCAUCAAAACAGAGCUAGAGCCAUUUUUCUUUGAGGACUAUCAGCCAUAUUUCAUCAGCCUAACACCAACAAGCUACAGCGAAGGAUCUGUUAUCAAUCAGGCGAACAUGACCAUAACCUCUGAUGCAACGUUCCCCAGCGAUACACAGGUUAUAACCACCCUGACUAGAGCUGCAUUGAGUGGAAAUUUGUCAGUUACCAUCA
Molecule: long non-coding RNA, 295 nt
Organism: Sardina pilchardus (European sardine)
Lineage: Eukaryota; Metazoa; Chordata; Actinopteri; Clupeiformes; Clupeidae
Exons: 3
Source: RefSeq, a predicted model, not a curated record